Small nuclear RNA from Mus caroli (Ryukyu mouse), 106 nucleotides. The record is from RefSeq and is a predicted model, not a curated record. NCBI's taxonomy places the organism in Eukaryota, Metazoa, Chordata, Mammalia, Rodentia, Muridae.
AUGCUCAUUUCGGCAGCACAUAUACUAAAUUGGAACAAUACAGAGAAGAUUAGCAUGUCCCCUGAGAAAGGAUGACAUGCAAAUUUGUGAAGCAUUCCAUAUUUUU